GAUGAACGCUGGCGGCGUGCCUAAUACAUGCAAGUCGAGCGAACGGACGAGAAGCUUGUUUCUCUGAUGUUAGCGGCGGACGGGUGAGUAACACGUGGAUAACCUACCUAUAAGACUGGGAUAACUUCGGGAAACCGGAGCUAAUACCGGAUAAUAUUUUGAACCGCAUGGUUCAAAAGUGAAAGACGGUCUUGCUGUCACUUAUAGAUGGAUCCGCGCUGCUUUAGCUAGUUGGUAAGGUAACGGCUUACAAAGGCAACGAUGCAUAGCCGACCUGAGAGGGUGAUCGGCCACACUGGAACUGAGACACGGUCCAGACUCCUACGGGAGGCAGCAGAAGGGAAUCUUCCGCAAUGGGCGAAGGCCUGACGGAGCAAGGCGGCGGGAGUGAUGAAGGUCUUCGGAUCGUAAAACUCUGUUAUUGGGAAAGAACAUAUGUGUAAGUAACUGUGCACAUCGUGACGGUACCUAAUCAGAAAGCCACGGCUAACUACGUG
RNAcentral lists this ribosomal RNA (497 nucleotides) under uncultured bacterium. RNAcentral's name for it is "partial 16S ribosomal RNA". It matches the Rfam family "Bacterial small subunit ribosomal RNA", at positions 28 to 507 of the family's 1533-position model. The record is from RNAcentral.